UACGAACUGUGCAAACGUUAUUCGGAAUCACUGGGCUUAAAGGGUGCGUAGGCGGUUCGUUAAGCAGGGUGUGAAAGCCUCCGGCUCAACCGGAGAAUGGCGCCCUGAACUGGCGGACUGGAGUGAGACAGGGGUGUGCGGAACUUCCAGUGGAGCGGUGAAAUGUGUUGAUAUUGGAAGGAACGCCGGUGGCGAAAGCGGCACACUGGGUCUCAACUGACGCUGAGGCACGAAAGCCAGGGGAGCGAACGGG
This 253-nucleotide ribosomal RNA is filed under the name uncultured bacterium. RNAcentral's name for it is "partial 16S ribosomal RNA". It matches the Rfam family "Bacterial small subunit ribosomal RNA", at positions 524 to 776 of the family's 1533-position model. The record is from RNAcentral.